RNAcentral lists this long non-coding RNA (974 nucleotides) under Pongo abelii (Sumatran orangutan). RNAcentral's name for it is "lincRNA". The record is from RNAcentral. Lineage: Eukaryota; Metazoa; Chordata; Mammalia; Primates; Hominidae.
UUCAAAGCCUUUAACAAUGGCAGUCACAUAGGAAGUACUCAAUGUUUGGAGUACGAAUAAUGUACUAUUAUUAUUCAAAGACCAGCUAGAAAGUUACCUUCUUUGAGGGGUCUCCCUGAUAGUUACAGUGACAAGGAGACUUAAUCGCCCCCAAACACUUACCACUUUACACUGCUUGGUUGCCUCCACUACACAACUAAUUCCCCGAGGGGAAGGAUCUUGAAUAACUGAACUUUGUUGCAGGAGGCUAGCACAGUACCCAGAUCAUAGAGGGAACUCAGAAUCUGAUGCUGGCACUUGUAAUCAGAAAGUCUGGGCUGCGAUCCCAGUAUCUUCACUGACUGGCUUUGUGAUCUCAGGCUGGUCACUUAGCAUUUCGAACGCCGGGCUACCUACCCCGCCCACCCCAGGAGCGAACAGUGUUGCUGCCCCAAAGCGCCGAAUAGAUCGCAGAACGUAGUGGGAAUGUAAGGGACCAUUAUGAUCUGUACCCCACCCCGACGCACGCCAAGCGGCCUUUUCCCCAUUUGUGGCCAAAUUUCCCGGCAUGGGGAAGGAGUCUUAGGGGAAGCACCCGGGACCUCCUUGGCUUCUUCUGGGAGUCUAGUUUCACCUAUUUUGUUUCGCCAACAGGCGAGACGGGCAAGACUUCGGGCUUAGCUGCCACCAUCAGAACUGACCUGUCCAUGGCUAAAGCCUUUUCCACACAGAACCAACGUUGACUCCAGUUUAGCUACCGCGUUUUAGCCUUCCCGCUCUCCGGAAGCAAGCCCUUCGACCCGGAAGUGUCUCUCCCUAAAACAGCCCCACAGAAAAGGGGUUCAGGUACUCUAUGCUAUAUGUGGUUCCACAAUCCUCAGCAUGUUAACUGAAGCCUUGUUGAGUUUAACAAAGGUGCCGUUGAAGAUCUGGGGAAAGUGAAAAAGGUGCGACAGACUUUUGGGCUCACACCAUUGAUACAUUUGAUUCUUAAG